CUUCAUCACCCUGUUAUAGGCAAUUCAUGUCUGUGUGAGUUGCAACAUAUCGGUAAAUGAAAACCUUAUUCGUAUUCUAUCUGGUAACGAGACCACACGGGUUUUACGAGACUGAGCGUGGAGAACAUUACAUUUUGGCGACGAGGAUAGAAAUGGCGAACCCGUUUGAGAUGAUUCGAUCGCUUGGGCUGCAGCUACAAUCGUUUGACUAUGCGUCGCACACCGAUGAUGUCGGCAUCGAGUGGCGCAAGUGGUUGAGAUCGUUCGAAACGAUGACCCGAGCAAGCCGAAUCGAUGAUGAGGACUGGAAGAAGGAUUUGCUGCUGCACUACGCGGGUCCGAGUGUUCAGCAGCUAUUCGAUACAUUACCUGAAGUACCAGGAACUGGCAUGCGUGGGCCAUUGUCAAAUAUUGAACACUACACACCGAAUAUGACCAGCUAUGAAGAAGCCAGAGCCAAGCUAAACGAUUUUUUCCUGCCGAAAGAAAAUUCCACUUACGAACGGCAUUUACUACGGCAAAUGAAACAACGAACUGGUGAAAAUAUCGACACAUUCACCAUCAGAUUGCGAGUGCAGGCAGAACGUUGUGGUUUCGGUGAUAGAGUGGAAGAAAAUAUCAAGGAUCAAAUAAUCCAGAACUGCCAGUCGGCCGCGCUACGCCGCGAUUUGCUUAAACGAGGAGAUGCAAGUCUCGAUGAGGUGUUGGGCAUCGCCAAGAUUUUCGAGACUGUCGCUCAACAAGAAAAGUCAUUUGGCUGUGGAAGUGAAUUGAAGUCUAACGCCAAUGAUGUCAAUAAGAUCGAAGCUACAUCUUACGAGAAAAGGAAGAAAUUCAACGAUCCAAAACAGCUUCAAUGUCAUCGUUGCGGAUAUUUCGGACACAUCGCCAAAGAUGACAGAUGUCCUGCAAAAGGAAAGCUGUGUAAUAAAUGUAGUGGCAGAGACCAUUUCGCAAAGAAGUGCCGUAGCAAGCAAUCGAGGAGCGAACCGAAGAGAAUGGAUGGAAACCGAAAAUUCGGAAGUCAACAAACCGUCGAAACUUCCAAUACAGACCGUAAGGACGACGAAACGAACAUGGUAAAGCAAAUAACCAAUGAACAUAUUGAAUACAUUUUUAACGUGACGUCAUCGGAUAGCAACCAUGAAAUGCUUUGUGAAAUUGGUGGCGUUGCUGUAUUGGCCGUAAUCGACUCCGGUUCCAAGUAUAAUCUGCUAAGUCAGUCGAAUUGGGAAGAAUUAAAAGACAAGAAAGUGAUUGUAUCAAACCAACGAAGAGAAGCACCUAUGGUAUUCAAAGCUUAUGGGGGACAAUCCCUGCCGUUGAUCGGCGUGUUCACUGCUACGAUCAAAUUAGGCACCGCGAGCGAUUCGGCUGAGUUCUAUGUCGUAAAAGGGAAUGGCAAAAUCUUGAUCGGCCGGGAUACAGCAAUAGCUAUGGGUGUUUUGAAGAUUGGCAUACCUGUCGAUAAUGUGGAGGCCGACGUUGAAUGCAAGAAACUAGGAACAAUCAGAGAUAUUAUUGUUGAUAUCCCGAUUAAAUCCGAUGCUAUACCAGUUGUUCAACCAUAUCGGCGCAUACCGGUGGCUUUAGAGAAGAUGGUCGAUAAGAAGCUUGACGAAUUGCUAAACCAGCAUGUCAUCGAACCUGUGAAUGGACCGGCAAAGUAGUCGUGGUGCCGAAGGGUGACGACGGUGAUGUACGCAUAUGUGUCGACAUGCGACGGGCAAACGAAGCUGUGGAAAGAGAAAAUCACCCUUUACCAACUUUUGAAGAUUUUCUGCCACAUUUGACGAAAGCAAAGGUUUUCUCCCGUCUGGACGUGAAGAAUGCUUUCCACCAGGUAGAAAUAUCAAAGAGAUCCCGCGAAAUAACGACGUUUAUCACACGAAAAGGUUUGUUUCGCUAUACUAGACUAAUGUUUGGUAUAAAUUGCGCGCCUGAACUAUUCCAAAAGAUAAUGGAACAAGUUCUGAGCGGAUGCGAAGGGUGCUUGAUUUAUAUUGGCGAUGUUAUUGUGCACGGAUCUGAUCAGAAUGAGCAUGACAUGAGAUUGGAAAAGGCUCUUCGACGACUAGAUGAGUGGAAUGUGGUCCUGAAUAAAAGCAAAUGUAUUUAUGGGGUGUCUGAAAUUAAUGUUUUGGGACACGUUUUGUCAGCGGAUGGAAUCAAACCAGAUGAGGAUAAGUUAGAAUCCGUUCGUCGUUUCCGAGAACCAAAAUCUGGAGAAGAGGUUAGAAGUUUCCUGGGUCUGGUGAAUUAUCUUAGCAAAUUUAUUCCCGAUCUAGCGACAUUGACGCAUCCACUACGAGAGUUAACGAUCCAUAAACGAAAAUUUAUCUGGGGAUUGCAGCAGAAAGCAGCAUUUAUGAAAUUGAAGGAGCACAUGGUUUGCCCUACAACACUGGGAUAUUUCGAUGAUUCUGAUCGUACGCAAUUGGUAGCUGAUGCUAGCCCGGUUGG
Topomyia yanbarensis is the source of this 2463-nucleotide RNA transcript. RefSeq lists it as uncharacterized. Lineage: Eukaryota; Metazoa; Arthropoda; Insecta; Diptera; Culicidae. The transcript is spliced from 3 exons. The record is from RefSeq and is a predicted model, not a curated record.